UUUGUAUCUAUAACCCUAACUCCAUUAAAGUUCUUCAUUCCCAAUUAAGCUUUCAUUGAUUACUUUGUGAGUACCACUCAAGGGUUUUUUGGUUUCCAACCAUUAAUUCCUAGAGCUUUUUGUGAACAAGGUAAGAAAUACUUUUACUCAAUUAUCUGAUGAAGAUUAAUUGGUGCAUAUAAUUUUUUUUCCUUAUUAUCAUCCUAAACCCUAAUCCUAACCCUACUAUAAUUAGCAAAUUGCCGACUGAUAUUCUAAUAUAUAUAAUCUCUGUUCUGGGCAUUCGAGAAAGUACAGCUACUAGCAUACUUUCAAAACAUUGGCGUCAUCUCCAUUGUUACGUCACUCAUAUCAAUUUCCCAAAAUUUAUAUGGACUGACGGUACAACAAAUCAGUACCGACUUAAUUUAUCAAAGCACCAAAGUAUGAUCCACCAUGUCUUGAAUUCAUAUAGAGGCAAUCGAGUUUAAGGUGGACAUGUCAUUUGUUGAAGAUGACAAGUGUGAGAGGUGCUUUGAGUUUGCCUUGCCUAAAAAAGCUGAAAAAAUUCACAUAUUUGGUGUCCUUAGUGUGAGCCUUGAAUUUCUUAGACUUCCAAAUACCAUUUUUUUACACAGUCUUGGCUGCAUUAAAGACUUGCUUCUAUCUAACAUGCGUGCUAACGAUCAAGACUUUGGUCACAAAUUCUCUUGCUCUUGAAAGUUUGACGGUUUCAUUUUAAUUCGCGACACGAUUAGCUUAGUUUAUUUGACACUGGAGUGAGUAUUUGAGGGGUCAUUAUUUGAGGCCGAGUGAUGCAACUUAGUAACACUCCUAAGUUUACCGAACUCAAUUAUACAGAAGGAGAUGGUAAACUCAAUCAUGUUGGACUCCUUUCCGGGAUGCCAUGGUGCAUACGUGACCAACUCCAACGGUUGUGCCUCCUAGUGGCUCCAUAUAGGCAGAUUGAAAUGUUGAAUGUCUACGUUAAAUUUGUGUUUGAAGUAUUUGGAAAUGACAGGAUAUGUGGGUUAUUUGGGUUUGUACCUCAUUAACAGUGCUUCAAGAAUUGACAGUCUCGUCUCGUGUAUUCAUGAACAUGCCCUAGAUUGUGCACACUUUGAUUUUCGA
This is a long non-coding RNA of Salvia splendens (bonfire salvia), 1110 nucleotides long. RefSeq lists it as uncharacterized. The record is from RefSeq and is a predicted model, not a curated record. The transcript has 3 exons. NCBI's taxonomy places the organism in Eukaryota, Viridiplantae, Streptophyta, Magnoliopsida, Lamiales, Lamiaceae.